Long non-coding RNA from Athalia rosae (coleseed sawfly), 3800 nucleotides. RefSeq lists it as uncharacterized. The transcript is spliced from 3 exons. The record is from RefSeq and is a predicted model, not a curated record. NCBI's taxonomy places the organism in Eukaryota, Metazoa, Arthropoda, Insecta, Hymenoptera, Athaliidae.
AAACGGAGGUGAAUUCCUCGCCCUACCGUCAAUUUUCCCACCAAAGCUUACGCGGACAUACACCGACUCACACCGUAUACAUAUAGAGGAAUCUUGGGUGAAGUUCGGUUCGGUAUAUCCGGCUGUACCGCGCGCGUCCAUUCCCUAAAGUCGAAGUUUCUCGACUCGUCCCGUAAACAUCACCGGCGAUCGGAUCGUGUCCGAUCCCCGGCCAAUUUACAUGUCACAGUCUCUCUGUCAGGGUGUAAUUUUGACCGUAGUGAAUUUCUCACCCCACCCCUAUCUCCCUAUACCGCCUGUAUCCUGGAGGAUAUAAGGUUACAAAAACUCCUGCGAACGUACGUAAGGUAUAGAAUGGGAUCGGAUAAUUGCGAGCGAAGAAGAAGAAGAAGAAGAAGAAGAAGAGCGAUGUGGGGAGAAUCGACCCGUCGAUUUCAAAAAUAUCCGAUAUAACCCCGGGCAUGAUAUUCCCUCCCCGGAGUGGAGUGAAAAAAUUUUCAUAAAAAAGGGACCCAAGCGUUUCCUAGACUCUGAAAAUAUUUCGAGAUCAAAAAUAUUCGAAAUCAGCGUCGAUUGUGAUUCGCAAAAUUUUUCCUCCCAACGAACGGCUCGGAAAAAAUUAUAGUUUUCGUCUCUCCUUCUUUCUCCCCUUUCUCGCUACGUUUACGCGAUUUCCGGACAAAGUGUUCCCCCAAAAUGUACGAUACAAACGGGCGCACCAACAGUUUUUGACCUGGUGGCGCAGUGUUUCAAAGAAUAUGAAAAAAAUAAAAAAAUAAAAGAAACGAAAAAAAGAAUGAGUAUAAGUUCGCGCGUUUACAAGUCCACGCACCAGCGAGCGGCGGGUAUAUAAAAAUCGCGUGCAAUGCCGCAGACGUGUUGUGGCAGUUGCAAAGAACAUCAUCAGCCAUUCCCCAAACCCGAACCCUGAAAGGUGCGGAGGGUUGGGCCCAACUUUCGAACGACGAAGAGGCGACGCACACGUACGAACGUACGGCAGCGGCGGACGACGUCGCGACGCUCGUUCUUUUUUAUUUUAUUCCAAUUGAUUUUUUUUUUUUUUUUUUUUUUUCUUUCUCUCCUUUCUUUGCAUUUAAUUACCCCGAGGUACGCGGAGCGACGUGCCAACGAGAGUCGUUCGUUCACUACGUAAUAUGAAAAUAACUUCGCCAAGCAACGACCGACAAACGGCGAUUCUAAUCUCAAGAUCUCAACGACAUAGCUGCUGCUCCCCCCUUUUCUUCAUUUUUUCAGCAGUCUCAGUUUAAGUUGCAAGCGGUUACGUGCUGCUUGAAAAUUCAAAUUUGUUCGACUAACCCUUGCGACUAUUUCCCCGGCUGUUGAGGUGCAGGGGAUGAGGAAAAUGGAUAUCAACGUCGUCGAGAAUGACGACAAAAAUUGACACAUGUCAACGAGGUGGGUUAUUAUAUUACUUCGCUUGUAAGAUCGAAGGACCGACGGCGCGAACGCUACUGCGAAAUUUGAAAAUCCGAGAGCCGAUUUUCCCGACGCGUUCGAUCUAUCGAUCGAUUUCGAGGUGAAAGAAAUUUUUAUCGCUCAGGGAAAAGUCAUUUGAAAAAUUUACCCAAAUCAUCAUCAACCACAGAAGUACAGAAACUGUUGAAGAUAUCGAUUUUGAAUUCAACGUGUCUACUGUUCGCUUUUUUUCCUUCCGACAAAUCUUCAUCGAGCUGAUGAGAUGGAAGGAAGAAAAAAAUUUGUUAAAAAAGAAAAUUGGCUGCGGCUAACAAUAGAUUCAGAGCUUUUUCACAGCGAGCGCUUUGAAGAAGCUUAGAAACUAGCGACCUCUGGCAUUCCUACCCGGAUACAGCUAUCUCGUUGGGUAAGAAAGCUUUUACCAUUUGAAGAUCAUAGGGUGAUCUGUUAGACCAACCGUAAAUAACGUGGCUUCCUACUUUAUCCGUAGAACCCGACUUCCGGAAAGCUCUGGCGUACAAAGAAUAAAACCCGUCGAUAACGCGACCAAGAACCGGCCAAAAGAACCUCCAUCCGAGUGGCGGUUGGUUUUGGCCGUUUGUUCGCUCCGAGAAUCGAAAAAUGAAUUUUUUUCAACAAGUUGCGUUUCGCCAGGAUCCUCCUCAUAUUCAGAAAUUUAAUUAACGCAUUACUAACGAGUAUAUUCGAAGCAAUCUCCGGAGAAACAGAUGAAAAUAAUUUUCAAUAAGUCGAAAGUAUCUCCUUCAAUUCUCCGAUCUUACCGUACGCGGUUGUACCGGAGAAGCCUUUUGGGCGUGCCUCGCGAUGCUUUGACUUCUCUUCGCUUCCAUCUAGCAUCUCCGACUCUGCUUCUAAUGGAUCAUUGACACGAGGAGGCGAGAGAGGGGUAGGGCAAGAUCGCUUUUUGCUUCUCCUCGUAAAACGCCGGACAGUUUCUCUCUGUUUAUCGUAUCCCUCUUUCCCGACUACAUUUACCGUCAACAAGCUGAAUAUGUAUCGAUUUCGUUUUGACUAUUUUCCUAGCUCUGAACAAACAGGGAAAGAUGAAUAAAAGAAAUGUAUAGCGUCAGAGGUACGAGCGGGACAGAGGCGCAGUAAAAAUAACGUGUGAAAAAAAUUGAUCUGUCGCCGAUCGGUCGUAUUUAUCUCGUUAGCCAUAGCCAGAUGGUCGGAAAGUUGCACGGAUGCGAAAACGCACUAAAAUCUCGUAUAUAUGUACUCAAGUGCGUACGUAAAACACACGCUUCUAUAUACCCGUAUAAAAAUACACGUAUGCAGUUCCGGUGUUGCGAGCGAAGUCGUUGAACAAUCUUCGUCGGAGCGCAGCGUGUUACGAAUCCUUCGCGAUCUUCCGCUACGAACGAAUCAUCUCGUGCAAUAAAGUCCCGCGCCGCCUGCAGUCUGUUCCCGCACUUUUUGGGGGUCUUCUUUUCCUCCGUUAUUAUCAUUAUUCCGCUUUUUCUCCUCCCGCUGUACAGUCUCCAUUCUUUUUUUUUUCGUGUUUUUUUUCAUUUUUUUUGCUUUUUUGCCGGGAGGCAGCUUAUAAACCUCACGAGGAGAGAAUAUAACGUAUCCAGUUGCGGACCGCGUAAUGUCUUCCUCCGCUUCAGGAUGUUGUUCGUUUUUAUAAUCCAUUUUUUAUUAUUUUCUUUGUUUUACGCGCGGUCACCAAAUCCAUCCGCGAAUUAGUAUAGCGUAUUAAAUGUGUAAGGGAGUGUAACGCGAGUGAACCUUACGGAUUAAAAUGAAUCUUCUUAAUUUCUUUACCUGUAUGUUUUUACCUUCGGGAUCGAGUUGUCGGUUCGCUAAUUCGGAUGGAUUUAGCUUCCGGUGGGUCAAAUUUUCUUCCGAAUUAAUCGUCUAAAUCUAAAAAUAAAAUGGCCUGUAAUCUCCGACGCUGUUAUUAGCGCGUUUGCUGGAGUCGUGCACGUACGGCGAAGCUGCGAUACGGGUACGCCUGCAGGAUGAAUGAAUGAAGUAUAAGGUGAGGUGUUCUAUAAAGCAUUAUUCCAGCUAACAAGUUGGAAGUGUGCAUCGGGUAUAUAACUGCAAUCUCCGUACUUCGCCGUGAGUUAAAAUUCAACGCGACGUCACCCCGUAGAUAAAUUAUGUACCUGGAGCAGCGGCGGCAGGAGCAGCAGCUCUCUAGAGUUUGCUGUAGCUGGUACAACUACAAGAGCUGUACGGACAGGAAGGCAGGCUGGCGCGCCUAACCUGUUCUCAUUUUUAUUAGGCGCAUCAGGUUUCAGUGCAGCCCCCGGUAAACGAACCGGUGACGUGAAUUUUUUGAAAAAUCAAACGUGGAACGAGUCAAAAUUCGUGGAAAAGUCGCGGAAGCGGAG